GGGGGAGCGCUGGCGGGCGGCCAGCUGCCAUCAGAAUUAGCUCAUUGUUCAAUAUAAGCAGCGCUGGCAACCAAACCCCAGCCCGAGAGAGAGACUUUCCCCCAGCCACCCCCACCCCUUUUUUCUUUUUUCUCCAAGGCUGCACUUUGGAAGAGAUCAUGUAGAAAGGACAGAAAGUGAGCAGGGAGCGGGGGCUUUUGUCUAUUGUUCUCCUUGUGCUACUUGAGAGAAACUGCAAUCCCAAGACUUAACAGAAUCUAAAAAUGGUUUAUCAACCAAGGUUAACGAUUUGGGUUAGCCAGGAACUCUUUCCAACCAGCCGAGGGGAUGGGGGAUUUCCAAAGGAUUUCAGGCCUGAGAUUGUUUUCACAGCUGAAAAGGAACUGCCCAACACAAUGCUGCUGGAAAUUUGCCCAGCUCUUUGGUCUGUGCGGUGUGCCUGUUUGCAUGUGUAAGUUUCUCGUUUUCCCCACAUAUCCUGUAAUGAUACACAAGUAGCGAAUUUAGUCAACAAAAAAGCAAAAAUAUUACGGCAAGGAUGGAAUUUUCUGGAGUCCUGUGAAGGAACAUGUUUGUGCAGUCACUAAAAUUUAAACUAUUUCUUCAUUCUGAAAUUCUGUCUCGGGCAAAAUUCCCAGUUUGGCUCUAGCAGAGAUGAGGUACGUUUCCACUCCCAGGCCUGCCCCCGAGUCGCAGAGCCCUGCUGCAUGUGCCCUCACAGACGGCUCUGCUGGGUUUCUCUCUUUCUAGUGCCCCUCAAGGAGAGGGCACAGUUUGCCCCCAGGAACGGAUUUCGGCUCUGUGUUCAGCCUGAGAACUGCUAUUGCCCGUGGGCAGUGCAGAAGCGGCAGUUCACGUACUGGAAAGCAGAACUUCAUCUAUAAGCUGUGGCACAGACAGUGGGAAAGUGAUGGCAUGGCCGCAUUCUCAGCACAAGUAAAUGUAGCUAAUAGGGGCACUCCGUAAAAAAUCCUGCCUCAGAAGAGCCUAUGGAGGGAAAGACCCUAAAAAUUGCACUUUCUUGGUAGUUGUAUGACUGCUGUGAGUUUAUUUCUUAAUUCAGAAAUUCACAGCUUUCCUGUCAGAAAAACUUCGAAAAGAAGUAAUCUUUCUGUUUGAUGAACAUACCCUAAGUAGUAAAGCCCAUAAAUCAUCUUUACAAUUCUGAUCUCUUAAACACAAAAAACAGAUUUUUUUCCAAUCACUUACAAUAUAUUACUAGUUAAAAACAGUGGUUUGUUUAAGAUUCCAUUGUAACAUAUCAUCACCAAAGUAUUUAAGCACAUGGUUAGCCUUUAGUCCUCCUAUUGAUGCUUAACGUGAAAUGUAUAUUAAAGUGCUUUCCUAAAUUGGCAUAGACUUAAGCCGGUGGUGGCAAUGUUUAAGCUGAGAUAGCUGGCUAACGUGACACCAUUUCUUUACUUGUCCAGAGACCAUGAUAAUACAAUACAGUACAUUUAGAGUACCAGUAGGAAAAGAAUCAGUGAUGUUUUAGAGGAAAGUCACUUAUUAGUGUAUGCUAGCUGCUUAAGGUGUAAGGCAUUUAAAAGAUGAGAGGCCUAAGCUCUGAAAGGUCCUCUGUAAUAAUGAGAUGGACUUUCAAAUCUAAGAGAUCCUUUCCAUGUUAGAGGCCAAGUGGAGCCAUAAAAAGGAGCUUGAGAUUUAAAAAAAGCAAGCAAAGGAAUUCACUGGUAGAGUAUCCCAUUAAUGGUUUGGUUACCUGUGUCAGUACUGAGUUGCAUUUUUAAAAGGGGCUCAGUGCCAUCUUUAGAUUUGUGGCCGUGAGCUCUGCAUCAUCGAUCCGGAGAUGCUGUGCCUGCAUUUUUAUGCCUCGUGUGUGCAGGACAGGUAGUUGUGAGUUAUCAGCCCUCCUGGUAUGCCAAAGCAGCUGCAAAGCAACGUGCACAGGCACAGGUUUUGGGCUGUGCUGUGCCAGCCCUUGUGGAGGGGCUGAGCUCAGGAAGCCCCCAGCCUCUCCCCCACCGCUGUGUGUGAAGCGGCCGCACUCACCCUGCUUCUCCAGGAUGAAAUGUUUUCCUGGAAUGAGCCCAGGCGGUCAAGGAGUUGGAAAAUUUGGCCUGCAGAGAAACUGCUCGGUAUGGUGGUCGCAAGAAAAAAGCCCUUUGAGGAACAGCGGAUGGCGAGCUGUGGAAAGGGUUGUCACUCGAAAGCUUCACCCCACCCCACUUCACUAGGCUGGUUGGGGCUGCCCCAGCUGCUGCACAUGGCCAAACGCCCCAGCUUCAGCAGGAGUGGAGGGCUUGUCUCAACGCCUUUGUGCUUCGGCUGCCGGGGCACACUUGUUCAACUCAGAGUAAAGACAUUUCCUCAGAUGUGCUUGGGCUUGCUUAGUUUUUAAACAAUCUUUUCCUCCCUGUGGCAUUAGUAUUUACAGUUGAUUGAGCCAUGUUUGGUAGGUGUUUACUUCUAAACUACAGUUAGAGAACUCUAAAAACUUUAGGAUGGGAAAAGGGAGGGUGGACCCCAUCAAGCAGUCUUUGUAGAAGCAUAGCUAAUACUGUUUUUCUUCUCUGCAGGGAUAUCUUCCUAUCUCAAAGGAAGUAAAUCGCAAGAAGAAAAGUGAGGCUGAAGUGGCGUUCCUGACUCCAGUAAAUGGCUAUGGACACCA
Dromaius novaehollandiae (emu) is the source of this 2629-nucleotide long non-coding RNA. RefSeq lists it as uncharacterized. The record is from RefSeq and is a predicted model, not a curated record. Lineage: Eukaryota; Metazoa; Chordata; Aves; Casuariiformes; Dromaiidae. The transcript is spliced from 5 exons.